Rhododendron vialii is the source of this 5213-nucleotide long non-coding RNA. RefSeq lists it as uncharacterized. The transcript is spliced from 3 exons. The record is from RefSeq and is a predicted model, not a curated record. NCBI's taxonomy places the organism in Eukaryota, Viridiplantae, Streptophyta, Magnoliopsida, Ericales, Ericaceae.
GUCCAUGUUACUGACAUUGUGUGCUUCUGGUAAUGCUUCUUGAUGGCAAAAAGGAAUUUUUUUAGACAUUUAAAAGCUUGAAAUAGUCCAUCUUGAAUCCUUUUGUUUCUAUUUGUUUGUUUGUUACUUUAUAGUGUUUUUGUUUUUUGUGUUUGUGUGCGUGCUCAUGCAUAUGCAUAUGCAUAUUUAGCCAGUGAUACAUGACACUGGACAUGUAGGGUAAAUUCUCAUCUUGAUAACAUACAGUUGGACUCCAAUCCAUUUAGUCGCUUGACUCCCAUAUUCCUAUUUGGAAAUGCUAUAAGAAUCCUAUGAUGUAAUGAAAAAUAUUAACGGAGCUUGCUAUGCAACAUAUUUUCUUGAAACCUGUAAUGAAGCUUAAUGAAGGCAAAGGAAAAUAUUUUGGAACAUUUGACUGACACCCCUUGAGGUUGGUCUUUGAACAGGUUCCAUCUUAACCAAACCAACCAAACGAAACCGAGCCAUAAAUCCCAGUCAAUUAGAGUUGCCUUCUGUUUUCUCCAUUGAAGCUCUGUUGAGGACACGGUGUUUACAAAAAAAACAAAAAAAAACAAAAAAAAACAAAAAAAACUGGACCUUUUCGAACUACCAUUUUUAAAGUCAAUUUUGGUCUUCCCAUCCCUCGAGUACUACCUUGCAUUGUAACCAUAUUGGUUCCCAACUUCCCUUUUCUACCAAAUCGAUUGAUCUAGGAUAGACAUGUCCCAAAAACCUUAAUAUAUUUUCUCUCAUUUUAUUUUUUAGCAGUGCUAUCCUACCAUUCCGCGAAGUUUUUUAUUUCUAAUUUUAUCUCGCAAAGUCUUACCAUACAUCCAUCUCAAAUUUUCUUAUUUCAGUUACACUCAUUUUACUUACAUGUCAUUUCUUAAUAGCCCUCACUCCUUGCCAUAUGUAUGCUGGUCUUAUUGCAAUACGGUAGAAAGUUCCUUUCAACUUUGUGCCUUGUUGGUAUAUCCUUUGGUCGCAUGACAGCCUCAAAACACUCUGCCACAUGAACAUCAAUUUUUUUCUGUAUAUGUUGCAUAUUUGCAUCUUCCGCUUUAUCUCCCUACUAACAAUUGAGCCAAGAUACUUAAAAACACUCUUCUUGGUAAUUCUGAUUUUGCAGGGUAACAAGGCUGUUUUGCCAACACUAGGCACUUUCUAACUUGCAUUCCAUGUACUUAGUUUUAAUCCUGCUGAUCCCAAUCCUUCUCUCCAAGUUUCUAAUUCUGCAUUCACACUUCUUCCAGUUUCAUCUAGUAAAACAAAAUCGUGUACGGAUUACCCCUGCAUGUAUGAAAAAUGACAUUGCAACCUCCCCUCCAUCUUAAAAUCAAUGGCCAACCAACACAGUUAUCUUGAGCCAGCAAUGUCCAACAACACUGGCCAACACGUCAUCGAGUACCAACCCCACUAAACCCCCCCACUGCCUCUAUGCGACGGCCGAACCCCCCAACUUCACUCUGUCCACCAACGAUCUCUUACUUUGCCACCUGCCCUUGUAUGCUCCUCGUCCUUAGUGCCCGGUUAUCUAUCAUGAGAUUGAACAAUAACCAACAAUUAUUGCAACCAUUGGCACACCUCUUAUUCUAAACCCCAACAGUUGGACCCUGUUGGAAUCAGAAUCAGAGGAUGCACGAACUGGUUGAGAUAAUUGGCUGCAAGAUGUAGAGGAGACAAAUGAGGGUGGACGUGAGGAUUUUUUAGGUUUGCAAAUGAGGGGGCAUAAUGCCCAAAAACUCGAACUCGUGCCUUUGUCAACAAACCCAUAAGAUCCGAAUCCCCAAAACCAAUUGACCCAAUUGUUACCUACCUCUGCCUUGCAAAACCUCAUUUCCCCAAUUUUAAGGCACUUUUAUUUAGAAAUGGUAGGCACUUGGCCUGUUUGGGCAGCAAUUUGGCCCCAAAUUGGGUUGGUCAAGUUUGGGCAACUGCAAGCUUGUUCUUUGAUGACCAAAUACCAGUGACCUCUUCGUAUGGAGCAGUCAUGGAGUCUUAUACUCCAAUACUCUAAAGUCUAAGUUUUCUCCAACCAAGGGAGAAUAAUGUAGUCCAUACAAAGAGGUCACGGGUAUUUGGUAAUUUCAUAUGGUUGGAAGUUAUGGCCUUUAUGGAUUGGAGGGCUAGUUCAUUAGCCACUAAAUGGACCCAAUAAAAGUCUAUUAAAGGCUGUGACUUUUCAUUUAGGGUCCAUUUGAUUAGUGAGAUAAUGGUGGAAAAUGCAAGAAAGAGAAAAAAAUAUAUACUUUUUUUGUGUUCACUUAGCAAGAAUAUCCUAGAAAGUGGUUGAAAGUGAACUUUUCUGCACAACCCUCUAAAGCAUGAGAGCUUGCUUUACUUUUUCUCACAAAAUGUGCAGGAAAAUUUUAUUUUCUCAAGAAAAUCAACAAUUACUCUAACUUCCUUCUUUAUCCUCUUCCCUCCACCUUUUCUCUUCUAAUUUCGGCAAUUUUAUUCCCUCCAAACAAGGAUAUCUUAUUUUCUCUACUAUUUUCUUGCAAAACUUUCAUUCUAAUCAAACGGAUGUGAGGAAUUUUUUUUUUUCUUUUCUUUCACUUCACUUUCUAUCAUUUUCACUUCCCAUUUUACUUUUCUCGCUAAUCAAACGGACCCUUAGGGAGCUUUGACCCACAAUCAAUGUAUUCAAUCAUCACACAACUCAUUCAUCCUAUAGGAGCAGUUUUGGCAUUAAAAACAUUAGGAGCCUAUAAAUUGAUGUACUUCAAGAGUUUGAGAUAUGAAUGAUUGAUGCCUUGUUUGGAUGGUAUUUUGAAAAAAAAAAUUUCCAACUCAAAAAACACUCAUUACCCCUACUUCCAAUCAUUACUCUCAUUUCUCUCUCCUCUCUCUAAUCAUUAUUCUCAUUUCUAUCUCUAUCUCUCUCCACUCAUUACCUCAAUCUCAAAUUAUUACUCUAAUUUCUCUCUCCACUCAUUACCCAAAAACCAAACUCAAAAAUUUUCAAAACACCAUCCAAACAAGACAUGAAUGAAUAAGAAUUCGCAAAAGCUUAUAGCUUUGAAGAUUGUGUGAUGCAAUCCUUUCUUUGGUGUGAUGCUAAAGAGCCCCUAGGUGUGAUGCCUAGACCUAUCUUCCUAUAAACCCUUCUUCUCCUCUUUCUACAGUUCACGUACAUGGUUCACUGUCCCAAAGCAGCCCCUUUUCUUCGUGUUUGAUUAUACUCGGCCAUACUUCAAUCCCGUCCUGCAUCAUUGAGUGGAGUUGUUGGUUUAGUUGGAUUUGAAGGUGGAGGACAAUAUGGUUUAUUGGGGAUCCAUGUGUCAACAGCUAGUAGUUUGAUUGUUGAAGUAGUAUGUAGAGAGUUUUGCUUUGUGGUUUUGAUGUCGCUACUUAUUGCGAGAUGAUUGAGCUGUGGUGAACUAGUUGUUGCUGGUCAUAUUAAGGCAUUGCUAGAAUGGCACAGUUAAUCACGAAUUCACAAUACUGAGAUGUAUGCAGGAGGUGAUCUCAUUCUCUCUUUUUUCAUUUUGUUGUUUCUUUUUGGGUGGGUGGAGAAAAAUGUUGGGCUUUAACUUUUUUAAAGUAAUACUUGGUAAAUGAGAUAAGACCAUUCUAGGGCUAAAAUAAGCAUUUUAUAAGUUCUUAAUUGCUGAUGUAAUCAUUGGUCUAAAUGACUAAUUUCAGUGAAUGUGAGUAGAAACCUUGAGGAGAGGUAUUCAGUUCUCAUAGGUUGAAUAGGAAUCUAUAUUCUACAUAAAGUGCAAACCUCUGCUUACCAUACCUCCGUUACCCAAGUGUCAAGUGUCUGAUACGGACAUUCCAGAAUAGAUGAGUCCAAUUACCUAUAGUAGUCCAUUUGUUCUAUCACUUAUAUAGGAGCCUGUAGACUGUGCAGUCUUCAGAACAAAGGCCACAAAUUUGACACUGCUCCAAAGUUAUUUUGGGUCCACAAAAAUUGACUUCCAGCGUCUCAGGCAUUUUGAUCCUUUUUCAUUUCUAAAUUCUCGAAUAAAACAAGAGCUUAAUAUUGCCAAUAUGGGUUCUCUACCUUUUUGCUGACCUUUCUUAGUUAAUAGCUGACUUUCACACGAGUACCUCUGUGUAGCUCGAGUUCUGCUGACAUUUCUUCGUUAAUAGCUGACUUUCACGGGAGUACCUCUUUGUAGCUGAGUUCUUACUGCAUAGAUUACAAAGUGAUAUCUAUUGGGAAGGUUGCUAUGCUAGAGUGGCACAGGUUGAAGUUCAUUGCAUGCAUGUUUGGCCUCUAACAAUUCUUUCAUGGAUUUAGAGACCGUUGACCGCUUGACAUAAACUUAAAGUUGGUCCUUUACUUGUAAAUUAUAUUGGACGGAAAUGAUACAUUUCAACGUCUGAAGUUACUAUUGUAGAGAAUAGAAUAAGUCUUGCGAUAGGUAGGCUCUAUGUUUCUAUAUGUAAAACUGGAAAAUGUUACAUUACUCCAGCUUUGCAUUUGCCAUCAGGUACAUACUUGAUCAUACUUCAUACUCCUGUUACUGGGGCAACGAAGGAAAUGUCCUUCAUUUUCUGUUUUUUUCCCACAUUAGGCUUGUUUUAUUUAAUUGAUAGUUGAUUUGUUUAACUUGAGAGAUGGAAAAAAUUGUUAUUGUGGUUUCUAAUUUGGGAGAAGUGGUUUUGAUGAUCUCUUUCAGUGGUUUAAAUAGUUAAUAGUUACAGCAGAAUCACUUACAUUAUAAACCCAUUAUAUUUGUUCUAAAAGUGUCUCAUCUAAUGGUAGUAUGAUGCAGAAUACUGUUCCUUUCUCCCUGAAUAUUUAAAUUCAUGUAUAGGAUGCUAACUUUUCAUAUGCCAAAAUUUGGACAUGUGAUGUACCAGUCCUGUUCCUGUUCCUGUUCCUGUUCCACACGCUGAAUUGAUUUUCCUAAAUAAUGAAAAGUUGUGUGAAUAUUUUUGCAGAUAGUUUUAAUGGGGGCUUGUUUCUGAUGCAAAAAUGCUGGGUUAAGACAAAACCAGAAUCAAAAACUAGAAAAAGCUUCCAAAUUAAGAAGGAAGUUGGUCUAUUUGUAGGGUUGAUAACUUGUCAACAGGUACCAUAGAGGCCUAUCAAAUAGAAAAAUCAGCAACAUCCAAUAGUAGCUGUCAGAAAACAAUCAACAACAGCCAUAGAUGUCUCGAGUUCAGACAGUUGACAAUGCAAGUACUCUUGAGAGUGCUCAUGUACUGGUGCAAGAACAUCCAAUUUGAAUUUGUGUUCAAUUACAAGUUUACAA